GUGGGGAAUCUUCCGCAAUGGACGAAAGUCUGACGGAGCGACGCCGCGUGAGUGAAGAAGGCCUUCGGGUCGUAAAGCUCUGUCAUCAGGGACGAACGGCCGGUGGAGUGGAAAGCCACCGGAUUGACGGUACCUGAGAAGGAAGCCACGGCUAACUACGUGCCAGCAGCCGCGGUAAUACGUAGGUGGCAAGCGUUGUCCGGAAUUAUUGGGCGUAAAGCGCGCGCAGGUGGGAUCUUAAGUCCAUUUUUAAAGUUCGGAGCUCAACUCCGUGAUGGGAUGGAAACUGGGAUUCUUGAGGAUCGGAGAGGAAAGCGGAAUUCCCCGUGUAGCGGUGAAAUGCGUAGAUAUGGGGAGGAACACCAGUGGCGAAGGCGGCUUUCUGGACGAUGUCUGACACUGAGGCGCGAAAGCCAGGGGAGCGAACGGGAUUAGAAACCCCAGUAGUCC
RNAcentral lists this ribosomal RNA (450 nucleotides) under uncultured bacterium. Its description in RNAcentral is "partial 16S ribosomal RNA". It matches the Rfam family "Bacterial small subunit ribosomal RNA", at positions 354 to 796 of the family's 1533-position model. The record is from RNAcentral.